This 254-nucleotide ribosomal RNA is filed under the name uncultured bacterium. Its description in RNAcentral is "partial 16S ribosomal RNA". It matches the Rfam family "Bacterial small subunit ribosomal RNA", at positions 524 to 776 of the family's 1533-position model. The record is from RNAcentral.
UACGAGGGGGGCAAGCGUUGUUCGGAAUUAUUGGGCGUAAAGAGCUCGUAGGCGGUCUGUCACGUCUGCCGUGAAAACCCGAGGCUUAACCUCGUGGCUUGCGGUGGAUACGGGCAGACUAGAGGUAGGUAGGGGAGAACGGAAUUCCCGGUGUAGCGGUGAAAUGCGCAGAUAUCGGGAGGAACACCGGUGGCGAAGGCGGUUCUCUGGGCCUUACCUGACGCUGAGGAGCGAAAGCAUGGGGAGCGAACAGG